ACAUUAGGCCUCCUUUUAUAAGGGAAAAAUUCCAACAAUUUUUCCCCCCAACAGAUGUGGGAGUUUGACAACUUCAACAGCUUCAAGAACCAUGUUUGUGCAAAUGAUGUCAAUAGUAGAAUGAGAAUUUACUUUGGCUUAUUUGUCAAAAUUUAGGGAAGAAUCGGUUGUCCUGGAAUUCCCAGAAAUGACAAGCUCAACAAGGCGAGACCACUGGCUUGCUCUAAUAAAGGAGGUUAUAUUUUUACAUCGGUUUUUACGGAAGUUUAAGGUUGAUUCACCUUCAGGAUCACGGGAGAUGCACGCAAGAACAGUACUAGGGAUUAUAAGGCUUCAUGCAGCUAGAGAAAUGCUUAGGAUCUCGCCACCCGUUCCCAAGAAUUUUUUAAUUUUUGAUUUGCUCGAUGAGUUGCCAAAGGGAGACUAUGUGCUUGAAGAGCUUGCCGCGAGUUUGAAGAAAGCUGACACUGGACACUCAUGUAGUGCUAGCUCAAUCUUGAGAAGCCUGAAUAUCUCCCUGUCACUGGUUCCAAGUGAAGCGGCAAAAGAAAUCGACGACAACAGCCGCCUCCCAGUCCAAAAUGACAGCGUCUCAUCAUUGGAGAGUGCUAUUGAUCAAGCAAGAGAGGAAGCAAAGGAAAUUGAAAAGGCCAAAGCUACUGUUGAGGAGCUCAAAGGGGAAGGAAUGGGGAACAGUGUCCAGGUUCUUAUGGGUCUUCUCAAACCAUUUGGGAGGUUAGUUCCUUAUCUUCAAGAGGUGUUUUCAUGGGAGAGACCAUUAUGUAGUUCCAUUGCUAUGUUGACUGCGCUUCUAGUUAUUUACACAGAGUGUGUUGGCAAAGCAAUAGCAGCUCUCUUAUUGGGGACGGUUGGUACAAUGCUAUGGGCAAGACAAAGAAGGAUAGUAGAAAAGGCGAAUAAAAUAGUUAUCUAUACUGGAUCUGAUCAGACAACGAUGGAAAGCAUAGUGUCAGCACAACACGGACUAAGAAAUGUCUAUGACUUGGUUCAGAGCAUGAACGUAAUACUACUGAAAAUCUGGUCCAUAUUGGUUUCAAAGGCUCCAAAGCAUGCAGAUUUGGUAAUGGUGGCAAUGGUUGGUGCAGCUGUAAUAUUAGCGGUGGUUCCUUUCAAGUUUAUCCUUAUGGCUUUGACAUUGUGCCUCUUUGUGGCGACAUCAAAGAUUGGGAAAUACAUGCAAGAUGAGAAAGUAGAUCGGAGAUUAAAGGAGUGGUGGGACUCUAUACCCAUCGUGCCAGUUGAAUUUGUGGAAAAGUUACCUGAUUCAUAAUAUUGGAGGGAUUCCAUAGUCGGGGUAUAUCCCUUCCCUUUCAUUUAAGUUUAUAUCAGGGAACAGUGAAGACAAUCCAAUGAUCAGGCACAAAAAUUGGAACGACUUGUCAGGAAAGUUAAAUAUAAUACUACUACAGUUUACACACACCUCGUGUAUAAAGUCAGAAAUACGGUGAAAUUUGAUACCUCCAUGUUUGAAAUUUGACACAAGCCAACCCUUCCCUCUCUCUAAUGUUUCCUUUGAUCUACGAGAAUGAGAUUACAUAGACAGUGUUGGUAAAAGGAACUCUCUUACAGUUGUAGAGUACAUUUGUGACUGCAAGAAGAUUGAGGUUGAAUGAUUAUUUAGCGCUCCCUGCACCCUUUGUAGAACUUUAAUUGAUUUAUUUUACUUUUAUGGAUGUAAUCUGAAAGCAGUGAGCAGAGUUCACUAUGCUUAAAUCACAGACUCUGAAAUUAUUUCUUGUGUCUGUAUAAUAUAUAGUUUUCAAGUUA
Non-coding RNA from Nicotiana tabacum (common tobacco), 1788 nucleotides. The record is from RefSeq and is a predicted model, not a curated record. NCBI's taxonomy places the organism in Eukaryota, Viridiplantae, Streptophyta, Magnoliopsida, Solanales, Solanaceae.